GCCUGGGUGGCUCAGUCGGUUAAGCACAUGACUUCGGCUCAGGUCAUGAUCUCCCAGUUUAUGGGUUCGAGCCCCGUGUCGGGCU
This 85-nucleotide transfer RNA is filed under the name Felis catus (domestic cat). It matches the Rfam family "tRNA". From Rfam's summary of the family: Transfer RNA (tRNA) molecules are approximately 80 nucleotides in length. Their secondary structure includes four short double-helical elements and three loops (D, anti-codon, and T loops). The record is from Rfam by way of RNAcentral. Lineage: Eukaryota; Metazoa; Chordata; Mammalia; Carnivora; Felidae.